Molecule: ribosomal RNA, 967 nt
Filed under: Fomitopsis sp.
Lineage: Eukaryota; Fungi; Basidiomycota; Agaricomycetes; Polyporales; Fomitopsidaceae
Description: partial large subunit ribosomal RNA
Rfam family: Eukaryotic large subunit ribosomal RNA
Source: RNAcentral
UUAGCAUAUCAAUAAGCGGAGGAAAAGAAACUAACAAGGAUUCCCCUAGUAACUGCGAGUGAAGCGGGAAAAGCUCAAAUUUAAAAUCUGGCGGUCUUUGGCCCGUCCGAGUUGUAGUCUGGAGAAGUGCUUUCCGCGCUGGACCGUGUACAAGUCUCUUGGAACAGAGCGUCAUAGAGGGUGAGAAUCCCGUCUUUGACACGGACUACCAGUGCUUUGUGAUGUGCUCUCAAAGAGUCGAGUUGUUUGGGAAUGCAGCUCAAAAUGGGUGGUAAAUUCCAUCUAAAGCUAAAUAUUGGCGAGAGACCGAUAGCGAACAAGUACCGUGAGGGAAAGAUGAAAAGCACUUUGGAAAGAGAGUUAAACAGUACGUGAAAUUGCUGAAAGGGAAACGCUUGAAGUCAGUCGCGUUGGCCAGGACUCAGCCUUGCUUUUGCUUGGUGCAUUUUCUGGUUGACGGGCCAGCAUCGAUUUUGACCGCUGGAAAAAGGUUAGGGGAAUGUGGCACCUUCGGGUGUGUUAUAGCCCUUAGUCGCAUACAGUGGUUGGGAUCGAGGACCGCAGCACGCCUUUAUGGCCGGGGUUCGCCCACGUUCGUGCUUAGGAUGCUGGCGUAAUGGCUUUAAACGACCCGUCUUGAAACACGGACCAAGGAGUCUAACAUGCCUGCGAGUGUUUGGGUGGAAAACCCGAGCGCGUAAUGAAAGUGAAAGUUGAGAUCCCUGUCGUGGGGGAGCAUCGACGCCCGGACCUGAACUUCGGUGAUGGAUCUGCGGUAGAGCAUGUAUGUUGGGACCCGAAAGAUGGUGAACUAUGCCUGAAUAGGGUGAAGCCAGAGGAAACUCUGGUGGAGGCUCGUAGCGAUUCUGACGUGCAAAUCGAUCGUCAAAUUUGGGUAUAGGGGCGAAAGACUAAUCGAACCAUCUAGUAGCUGGUUCCUGCCGAGUCCCCCCUUUUAAAGAAUAAA